RNAcentral lists this ribosomal RNA (301 nucleotides) under uncultured bacterium. RNAcentral's name for it is "partial 16S ribosomal RNA". It matches the Rfam family "Bacterial small subunit ribosomal RNA", at positions 509 to 808 of the family's 1533-position model. The record is from RNAcentral.
CAGUAGCCACGGUAAGACAGAGGAUGCAAGCGUUGUCCGGAAUUAUUGGGCGUAAAGCGCGCGCAGGCGGAUAGGUCAGUCUGUCUUAAAGGUUCGGGGCUUAACCCCGUGAUGGGAUGGAAACUGCCAAUCUAGAGUAUCGGAGAGGAAAGUGGAAUUCCUAGUGUAGCGGUGAAAUGCGUAGAUCUCGAGAGGAACACCAAUGGCGAAGGCAGCUUCUUGGUCCAUUCCUGACGUUCAUACACGAAAGCGUGGGGAGCAAACAGGAUUAGAUACCCGGGUAGUCCCUGUCUCUUAUACC